GCUAGUGUGGUAUAGUGGUUUGAGUGCUGGAGACUACAACUCUGGAGACCAGGGUUCAAAUCCGUACUCAGCC
This 73-nucleotide transfer RNA is filed under the name Phrynosoma platyrhinos (Desert horned lizard). RNAcentral's name for it is "tRNA-OTHER". The record is from RNAcentral. Lineage: Eukaryota; Metazoa; Chordata; Lepidosauria; Squamata; Phrynosomatidae.